Molecule: ribosomal RNA, 254 nt
Filed under: uncultured bacterium
Lineage: Bacteria
Description: partial 16S ribosomal RNA
Rfam family: Bacterial small subunit ribosomal RNA
Source: RNAcentral
UACGGGGGGGGCAAGCGUUGUUCGGAAUUACUGGGCGUAAAGGGCUCGUAGGCGGCCAACUAAGUCGGAUGUGAAAUCCCCAGGCUUAACCUGGGAACUGCAUCCGAUACUGGAUGGCUUGAAUCCGGGAGAGGGAUGCAGAAUUCCAGGUGUAGCGGUGAAAUGCGUAGAUAUCUGGAGGAAUACCGGUGGCGAAGGCGGCAUCCUGGGCCGGCAUUGACGCUGAGUGAGCGAAAGCCAGGGGAGCAAACGGG